Non-coding RNA from Polaribacter irgensii 23-P, 43 nucleotides. The record is from Rfam. Lineage: Bacteria; Pseudomonadati; Bacteroidota; Flavobacteriia; Flavobacteriales; Flavobacteriaceae.
UUAACGGCUCCUUUAGGAGCUAAUUUUUCAAAAGAAAUAUUGU